CCCUUAGAUGUUCUGGGCCGCACGCGUGCUACACUGAGUGGAUCAGCGGGUCAGGUUGCGCGAAAGCGUUUCCUAAUCUUUAAAUCCGCUCGUGAUGGGGAUUGACGGUUGCAAUUUUCUGUCAUGAACGAGGAAUACCUUGUAAGCGCGGGUCAUCAUCCCGCGCUGAAUACGUCCCUGCCCUUUGUACACACCGCCCGUCGCUCCUACCGAUUGAGUGGUCCGGUGAGGCUUUGGGAUCUGAGCGGAAAGAGCGUUUCGCUGUUUCUGCACGGAAAACUCAGUCGAACCUUAUCAUUUAGAGGAAGGAGAAGUCGUAACA
This 322-nucleotide ribosomal RNA is filed under the name uncultured eukaryote. Its description in RNAcentral is "partial 18S ribosomal RNA". It matches the Rfam family "Eukaryotic small subunit ribosomal RNA", at positions 1470 to 1796 of the family's 1831-position model. The record is from RNAcentral.